AUGGACGUUACAAAACUUAACUCAGAACACGAAACUCUCAAACGGAAAAUAAAAGAAAUAAAGUUUGACGGUUGUGUUCCUUCUCAUAGUAGCAGCAGGCAGGCACGCUGGAACCGCGCUCAAAGAACAAUGAUGACUACCGCAUGGCUAGAUGCUACAAGCUAAAGCUAGGUAGCAAAGCUACAAGCUAAAAGCUAAGAGCAGGCAUGACUGAUAGCAUGAGCAAGGCUGGAACUAAAAGCCGACAUGGCUAAUAGCAGCAGCUAGACUAGAACUAAAAGCAAGAUUUAAUCGUGUCCAAAGUUUUUAAACUUCCUUGUUGGCCACCCCUCAAAUGUUGCCUUGACCAAUCAGAUAUGUUCUUGGGGUGGGUAUCAUAAAUCAUUUGUUUAUCUUACCAAGCAUGUGGUUCUUGCCUCACAGGGUCUAAUUUUGGACAUGAUUCCUAUAACAUGAUUAUGAUAUAUUUUACAAAUAAAUGAUUGUCAGGACAAUAUCAAGCAAGAAAAUGUGAUUAUUUCAAUACUAGACAUGACUAGGUAUCCUAUAGUUAUCAAAAGACAUACACAAUAAGUGAUUAUACAUGAUAGUCAAAUGUGUGGGUUACACGUAAAUGAAUAUGGAGUUAAGCAAUGGAAUGAUUCAUUCAUAAGUCUUUUUUGAGUUCAUUCUGGUCCAUAUAUAAUGUAUAAAAAGGGUUUCUUUGCCAUUCUCUGGCAAAGGACUUUUCUGUGAAGACAAAGGUUUAAAGCCCUUCCCCCUUUCAGUCUGGUUUCACUGGCUGGGGGGGGGGGGAGUCAAUGCAAGUAUUUAACUUGAUCUCCUGGGUUUACAUGUGAUGUCCAGCGUUGCAUUCCAAUCACGAACAAUAAAUUUGACAAUCUCUUCUUCGAAUUAAAAUUGUUAAUAAUUGUUCUAUUGGUGUUAAUGUUGAAAGCUGUUGUGUGAACAAGUUGGUUGGUUGGUUGGUUAUCUUGCUUGGUUCUUGUGGCACUAGAACUGAUUUAUGACUUCCUGAGGAAUUCGGCUCUCGUUUCAAUGCACACAGCUCUGAUAGACUCUUUGAUUUGUCUGAUUCGACUCAUUUCUGCUACAGAUCAUCUCUUCUCAGGUGUUCUGUAUCCAGAAUGAAGCUUGUGUAAGUCCUAGUUACCAGAAAGAGUGUGUCUGAACCCUGAACAAUAUCAGGAAGGCUAUUCCAGAGUUUGGGAGCCAAAUGCGAAAAAGCUCUGCCUCCUUUAGUGGACUU
This 1249-nucleotide long non-coding RNA is filed under the name Carassius auratus (goldfish). RNAcentral describes it as "lncRNA (ENSCARG00000037971.1)". The record is from RNAcentral. Lineage: Eukaryota; Metazoa; Chordata; Actinopteri; Cypriniformes; Cyprinidae.